Molecule: ribosomal RNA, 497 nt
Filed under: uncultured bacterium
Lineage: Bacteria
Description: partial 16S ribosomal RNA
Rfam family: Bacterial small subunit ribosomal RNA
Source: RNAcentral
GAUGAACGCUGGCGGCGUGCCUAAUACAUGCAAGUCGAGCGAACAGACGAGGAGCUUGCUCCUCUGACGUUAGCGGCGGACGGGUGAGUAACACGUGGAUAACCUACCUAUAAGACUGGGAUAACUUCGGGAAACCGGAGCUAAUACCGGAUAAUAUAUUGAACCGCAUGGUUCAAUAGUGAAAGACGGUUUUGCUGUCACUUAUAGAUGGAUCCGCGCCGCAUUAGCUAGUUGGUAAGGUAACGGCUUACCAAGGCAACGAUGCGUAGCCGACCUGAGAGGGUGAUCGGCCACCCUGGGACUGAGACAAGGUCCAGAAUCCUAAGGGGAGCAGGAGUAGGGAAUCUUUCGGCAUGGGCGAAAGCCUGACGGAGCAACGGCGCGGGAGUGAUGAAGGUCCUUGGAUCGUAAAACCCUGUUAUUAGGGAAGAACAAAUGUGUAAGUAACUAUGCACGUCUUGACGGUACCUAAUCAGAAAGCCACGGCUAACUACGUG